This 244-nucleotide ribosomal RNA is filed under the name uncultured bacterium. RNAcentral's name for it is "partial small subunit ribosomal RNA". It matches the Rfam family "Bacterial small subunit ribosomal RNA", at positions 26 to 285 of the family's 1533-position model. The record is from RNAcentral.
AGAAUCAACGCUGGCGGCGUGCCUAACACAUGCAAGUCGCACGAGAAAGGGGCUUCGGCUCUGAGUAAAGUGGCGCACGGGUGAGUAACACGUGAAUAAUCUACCUCCGAGUGGGGAAUAACUGAGAGAAACCUUAGCUAAUACCGCAUAAUACCUACGGGUCAAAGGAGCAAUUCGCUUUGGGAGGGGUCGCGGCCGAUUAGUUAGUUGGCGGGGUAAUGGCCCACCAAGACGAUGAUCGGUA